AUUGAGCGCUGGCGGCAUGCCUUACACAUGCAAGUCGAACGGUAACAGUCUUCGGAUGCUGACGAGUGGCGAACGGGUGAGUAAUACAUCGGAACGUGCCUAGUAGUGGGGGAUAACUACUCGAAAGAGUGGCUAAUACCGCAUGAGAUCUACGGAUGAAAGCAGGGGAUCGCAAGACCUUGUGCUACUAGAGCGGCCGAUGGCAGAUUAGGUAGUUGGUGGGAUAAAAGCUUACCAAGCCGACGAUCUGUAGCUGGUCUGAGAGGACGAUCAGCCACACUGGGACUGCGACACGGCCCAGACUCCUACGGGAGGCAGCAGUGGGGAAUGUUGGAGAAUGGGCGCAAGCCUGAUCCAGGAAUGCCGCGUGCAGGAUGAAGGCCUUCGGGUUGUAAACUGCUUUUGUACGGAACGAAAAGCCCUGGGUUAAUACCCGGGGGUCAUGACGGUACCGUAAGAAUAAGCACCGGCUAACUACGUGCCAGCCGCCGCAGUAA
This 497-nucleotide ribosomal RNA is filed under the name uncultured bacterium. RNAcentral's name for it is "partial 16S ribosomal RNA". It matches the Rfam family "Bacterial small subunit ribosomal RNA", at positions 30 to 523 of the family's 1533-position model. The record is from RNAcentral.